Molecule: ribosomal RNA, 497 nt
Filed under: uncultured bacterium
Lineage: Bacteria
Description: partial 16S ribosomal RNA
Rfam family: Bacterial small subunit ribosomal RNA
Source: RNAcentral
GAUGAACGCUGGCGGCGUGCCUAAUACAUGCAAGUCGAGCGAACAGACGAGGAGCUUGCUCCUCUGACGUUAGCGGCGGACGGGUGAGUAACACGUGGAUAACCUACCUAUAAGACUGGGAUAACUUCGGGAAACCGGAGCUAAUACCGGAUAACAUGUUGAACCGCAUGGUUCAACAGUGAAAGACGGUCUUGCUGUCACUUAUAGAUGGAUCCGCGCCGCAUUAGCUAGUUGGUAAGGUAACGGCUUACCAAGGCAACGAUGCGUAGCCGACCUGAGAGGGUGAUCGGCCAAACGGGAACUGAGACACGGUCCAGACUCCUACGGGAGGCAGCAGUAGGGAAUCUUCCGCAAUGGGCGAAAGCCUGACGGAGCAACGCCGCGUGAGUGAAGAAGGUCUUCGGAUCGUAAAACUCUGUUAUUAGGGAAGAACAAAUGUGUAAGUAACUAUGCACGUCUUGACGGUACCUAAUCAGAAAGCCACGGCUAACUACGUG